CAUUUUCUUUCUCCAUCACGAAAAAAAAGAGCUCUCGCGAUAUCAAAGGCGAUUCGGCGAUAGGAGAAGGGUGAAGGUAAAUCUGAGCUUUCACGUCAAUAUUUUUGCAUUUGAAGUUGUUGCAUGUUGUUUUCAUCUGUUUUUAGGAUUCUAUCGAGGGUUUAAAUGGAUUUAGGGUUUCAAAUCGAGUUGGAGAUUUUUAUCGAAUUAGGGUUUUCGUAUGGGUUUGCUAUUUUCUUCAUCUCAAUUCGCUUCUUUGUUGUUUUCGUCGUUAUUAAGGUUCGGGAUUGAGUUAUAAAUCCUUAU
RNAcentral lists this long non-coding RNA (306 nucleotides) under Brassica napus (rape). RNAcentral's name for it is "long non-coding RNA (BNAP_LNC025888)". The record is from RNAcentral. Lineage: Eukaryota; Viridiplantae; Streptophyta; Magnoliopsida; Brassicales; Brassicaceae.